UACGGAAGGCAGCAGUGGGGAAUAUUGCACAAUGGGCGCAAGCCUGAUGCAGCCAUGCCGCGUGUAUGAAGAAGGCCUUCGGGUUGUAAAGUACUUUCAGUCGUGAGGAAGGUGUUAAGGUUAAUAACCUUAGCAAUUGACGUUAGCGACAGAAGAAGCACCGGCUAACUCCGUGCCAGCAGCCGCGGUAAUACGGAGGGUGCGAGCGUUAAUCGGAAUUACUGGGCGUAAGGGCACGCAGGCGGUUAAUUAAAGUUGGAUGUGAAAUCCCCGGGCUUAACCUGGGAAUGGCAUUCAAGACUGGUUAGCUAGAGUCUUGUAGAGGGGGUAGAAUUCCAUGUGUAGCGGUGAAAUGCGUAGAGAUGUGGAGGAAUACCGGUGGCGAAAGGCGGCCCCUGGGACAAAGACUGACGCUCAUGUGCGAAAGCGUGGGGAGCAAACAGGAUUAGAUACC
Molecule: ribosomal RNA, 454 nt
Filed under: uncultured bacterium
Lineage: Bacteria
Description: bacterial SSU rRNA
Rfam family: Bacterial small subunit ribosomal RNA
Source: RNAcentral